GUCGAGUUGUUUGGGAAUGCAGCUCAAAAUGGGUGGUGAAUUCCAUCUAAAGCUAAAUUUGGCGAGAGACCGAUAGCGAACAAGUACCGUGAGGGAAAGAUGAAAAGCACUUUGGAAAGAGAGUUAAACAGUACGUGAAAUUGUUGAAAGGGAAACGCUUGAAGUCAGUCGCGUUUGCCAGAACUCAGCCUUGCAAUCUUGCCUGGUGUACUUUCUGGUGGACGGGCCAGCAUCAAUUUUGACUGCCGGACAAGGGCUGGGGGAAUGUGGCACCUUUUCGGGGGUGUGUUAUAGCCCCUGGUCGCAUGCGGUGGUUGGGAUUGAGGAAUUCAGCAUGCCUUUAUGGUCGGGGUUCGCCCACGUUCAUGCUUAGGAUGCUGGCGUAAUGGCUUUAAACGACCCGUCUUGAAACACGGACCAAGGAGUCUAACAUGCCCGCGAGUGUUUGGGUGGAAAACCCGUGCGCGUAAUGAAAGUGAAAGUUGGGACCUCUGUUGUGGAGGGCACCGACGCCCGGACCAGACCUUCUGUGACGGAUCUGCGGUAGAGCGUGUAUGUUGGGACCCGAAAGAUGGUGAACUAUGCCUGAAUAGGGUGAAGCCAGAGGAAACUCUGGUGGAGGCUCGUAGCGAUU
This 634-nucleotide ribosomal RNA is filed under the name Hericium bembedjaense. RNAcentral's name for it is "partial large subunit ribosomal RNA". It matches the Rfam family "Eukaryotic large subunit ribosomal RNA", at positions 264 to 885 of the family's 3401-position model. The record is from RNAcentral. Lineage: Eukaryota; Fungi; Basidiomycota; Agaricomycetes; Russulales; Hericiaceae.